CAGCCCCUACCUUUUGUCUCAUUCUUUUUUCCAGCUCUUUUGGCCUUUAGAUUGUUUGCUCUUGGCCCUGACACUUAUUAAACAAUGAGAAAAUUGGAUGACCAGAACACAAGUGACACUGAGAGGAUAAUGUGAUUGUUUGUCCUACAUGUCAGGCACUUGUAUAUUCCAGCUUGCAGAGGAUUGAUGCAAAAGUUUACUACCUUUGAUCAAUUUAACUUGGCCGCCUGUUUGCUCAUGGCUUUUUGGAAUAGGACCCUGGAAGAAUAACCACAAUUCAAGAGGGGGCUGCUGCCUGCUACAGAUACAGAAAUCUAGAUGGAAUUUCAAAGAUAAGAGAUGGUUUUCUCAGGUUUUGGAAGUAAUAGAGUACUUGGUCACUAACUCCUCACCUGAAGGACGGUUGUAUGCUUCAACUUGGAAAGCUCUACGUUGAGGUUCUUCAGCUCUCUUAAUUCCCAGAUUCUCUUUCCCAGAAGAAAUGGACCCUGGUUGUGAGAGGCAUCCAAAUCAAUAAUGUGACAACGAUAACAUUGAAAGUCUGCUGGAGAAGAAUCGCUAAUUCUUAUCAGAAGUGGUUUUUUUGUUUUGUUUUUUAUCCCUUAUAAAACAGACCAGACCA
This 622-nucleotide long non-coding RNA is filed under the name Chrysemys picta bellii (western painted turtle). RNAcentral describes it as "lncRNA (ENSCPBG00000024823.1)". The record is from RNAcentral. Lineage: Eukaryota; Metazoa; Chordata; Testudines; Emydidae.